This 162-nucleotide ribosomal RNA is filed under the name uncultured bacterium. RNAcentral describes it as "partial 16S ribosomal RNA". It matches the Rfam family "Bacterial small subunit ribosomal RNA", at positions 350 to 526 of the family's 1533-position model. The record is from RNAcentral.
AGUGCGCGAAUAUUUUGCACAAUGGACGAAAGUCUGAUGGAGCAACGCCGCGUGCAGGAUGAAUGCCUUCGGGUUGUAAACUGCUUUUAUAUGUGACGAUUAUGACGGUAGCAUAUGAAUAAGGAUCGGCUAAUUCCGUGCCAGCAGCCCCGGGAAUGAAAU